AGGGUGUAAACGCUGCAGACUUGGUGUUGGGAACCCUUCGGGGUGCUCAGUGCCGGAGAGAAGUUGUUAAGUCUGCUACUUGGGGAGUACGUCCGCAAGGAUGAAACUUAAAGGAAUUGGCGGGGGAGCACCGCAACGGGAGGAGCGUGCGGUUUAAUUGGAUUCAACACCGGAAAACUCACCAAGGGCGACUGUUACAUGAAAGCCAGGCUAAUGACCUUGCUUGAUUUUCAGAGAGGAGGUGCAUGGCGUCAGUGACU
This 260-nucleotide ribosomal RNA is filed under the name uncultured archaeon. Its description in RNAcentral is "partial 16S ribosomal RNA". It matches the Rfam family "Archaeal small subunit ribosomal RNA", at positions 748 to 1008 of the family's 1478-position model. The record is from RNAcentral.